CCUACGGGAGGCAGCAGUGGGGAAUAUUGCACAAUGGGGGAAACCCUGAUGCAGCGAAGCCGCGUGAGUGAAGAAGUAAUUCGGUGCGUAAAGCUCUUUCAGCAGGGAAGAAAAUGACGGUACCUGAGUAAGAAGCCCCGGCUAACUACGUGCCAGCAGCCGCGGUAAUACGUAGGGGGCAAGCGUUAUACGGAUUUACUGGGUGUAAAGGGAGCGUAGACGGUGUGGCAAGUCUGGAGUGAAAUGCCGGAGCUUAACUUCGGAACUGCUUUGGAAACUGGCGAACUUGAGUGCGGGAGGGGCAAGCGGAAUUCCUGGUGUAGCGGUGAAAUGCUUAGAUAUUAGGAGGAACACCGGUGGCGAAGGCGGCUUACUGGACCGUAACUGACGCUGAGGCUCGAAAGCGUGGGGAGCAAACAGGAUUAGAUACCCUUGUAGUC
RNAcentral lists this ribosomal RNA (440 nucleotides) under uncultured bacterium. RNAcentral describes it as "partial 16S ribosomal RNA". It matches the Rfam family "Bacterial small subunit ribosomal RNA", at positions 338 to 795 of the family's 1533-position model. The record is from RNAcentral.